CCAGCAUAAAAUACUCAAGAAUGGUAUAGGAUACUGACAUAGAGUGGUCGCCAGCUAGUGUCAUGAUUAGUGUUUGCAUUUUACGAUGGGAGUGUGCCUCCGAAUGAACAUUAGGAAAAUGGUUUAAACCUGAGAAAUUUAUCGCUUGUCUCUUUCGGCUAUCAAAAAGAAAUGCAGCCAGUGCCUUGUCAUACGGCAGCUCAUACAUAUUGGAUGCAUUUUAUGGACAGUAUUAUUAUGGGCUCAAUUUAGCAAUAGUCCCCAUUGGAUUGGUUCCUGCUGAGUAGUAAGCCUAUGUGAUACUUAAUGCUUCCUUGGGAAGACAGCUCCACAGCUAUCCGCUUGAAGAAGGUUUAAACCGCUUGAAGAAGGUUUAAACCGCUUGGAUCUACGUCAUUUAUAUUAUUUCACCGAAAAUCAGCAUCCCUAGCCUUGUUGGCUAAGUAGUAUGCUACCACGUUCCCCUCUCGAUAGAUAUGCUGCAUUAUGAAAUCUUCAACGGGUUGCCCUCCAAUUCCAAAUAUCCUGCAGAAAAUAAAAAUGAUGAUAUUUUGGGUUUUGAAAAUUUUGACUCCAAUGUAUAAUAGUGAUAGAGUCAUCUUCCAAAACUAUAUGAGCAGCGUGAAAUUGAGUUAUAGCAGCACACAUACCUGGUCAAACAGCAAUCAUCUCAGCAAAAAAGACGGUGACAUUUUAUAAUUUUUUUCCUCAUGCUUGUAAAAAUUGAGCUGAAUGAUCUCUAAUCACGUAAGCAGCAGAAACCUUAUUAGAAUGAAGAGAACCAUCAAAGUUAAUUUUAAUAUACCCAUAGGGAGCGGGUAGCUAAGAGACACUACUAGAUCCACUCUAUAGAGCAGAAUGAAAAUUAAGACUACCCUAGUACUUGGACGGGUGCCUUUCAAAAUCAUUCAACAAAGUAUGUUCAAAUAUACGGUUGUUUCUCUCAUGCCAGAUAAGCCAAGUGGUACAAGCAACAAAUUUUUUAUUCUCAAAAGAAUUAUCCUUAUUGGUCAUGUAAUCGAAUAAAUCAAUCAAAGAAUGAAAUAAGCAUGGUAUUUGCUUCAUUUGAUUAAUAUAAGACCAGACUUGAUAAGCAAAAGAACAAUUUAUAAAUAUGUGCUCACAAUCUUCUAUAACAUUCGGACACAGAUCACAAAAAUGAUGAUGAGCAGGAAUGAUGUUGUAGUGAGCAAGAUAUUGCUUAGUAGGCAAGCGGCCCCAAAUUAAUUGCCACCAAAAGUAUCAUACACGAGGCUGCAUGGAAAGUUUUUAAAUUAGAUUAAACAAAUGAGUAUAUUCAUGCACAUGCAUUUAAGAAGAAGAAGAAGAUAUAUCUUUAA
This 1340-nucleotide long non-coding RNA is filed under the name Elaeis guineensis (African oil palm). RNAcentral describes it as "long non-coding RNA (EGUI_LNC011530)". The record is from RNAcentral. Lineage: Eukaryota; Viridiplantae; Streptophyta; Magnoliopsida; Arecales; Arecaceae.